Molecule: ribosomal RNA, 356 nt
Filed under: uncultured fungus
Lineage: Eukaryota; Fungi
Description: SSU rRNA
Rfam family: Eukaryotic small subunit ribosomal RNA
Source: RNAcentral
UGUAGUCAUAUGCUUGUCUCAAAGAUUAAGCCAUGCAUGUCUAAGUAUAAAUAAAUUUAUAUUGUGAAACUGCGAAUGGCUCAUUAAAUCAGUUAUGAUCUACGUGACAUAUUCUUUACUACUUGGAUAACCGUGGUAAUUCUAGAGCUAAUACAUGCAAAAAAACCCAAACUUACGAAUGGGUGCACUUAUUAGAUAAAGCCAACGCUGGGUAAAACCAGUUUCCCUUGGUGAUUCAUAAUAAUUUAGCGGAUCGCAUGGCCUUGUGCUAGCGACAGUCCACUCGAUUUUCUGCCCUAUCAUGGUUGAGAUUGUAAGAUAGAGGCUUACAAUGCCUACAACGGGUAACGGGGAAU